Molecule: ribosomal RNA, 425 nt
Filed under: uncultured bacterium
Lineage: Bacteria
Description: partial 16S ribosomal RNA
Rfam family: Bacterial small subunit ribosomal RNA
Source: RNAcentral
GUGGGGAAUCUUGCGCAAUGGGCGAAAGCCUGACGCAACCAUGCCGCGUGAAUGAUGAAGGUCUUAGGAUUGUAAAAUUCUUUCACCGGGGACGAUAAUGACGGUACCCGGAGAAGAAGCUCCGGCUAACUUCGUGCCAGCAGCCGCGGUAAUACGAAGGGGGCUAGCGUUGCUCGGAAUUACUGGGCGUAAAGGGCGCGUAGGCGGACAGCUUAGUCAGAGGUGAAAGCCCAGGGCUCAACCUUGGAAUUGCCUUGGAUACUGGCUGUCUUGAGUUUGGGAGAGGUGAGUGGAACUCCGAGUGUAGAGGUGAAAUUCGUAGAUAUUCGGAAGAACACCAGUGGCGAAGGCGACUCACUGGCCCGUUACUGACGCUGAGGCGCGAAAGCGUGGGGAGCAAACAGGAUUAGAUACCCGUGUAGUCC